UAAUACGGAGGGUGCAAGCGUUAAUCGGAAUUACUGGGCGUAAAGCGCACGCAGGCGGUUUGUUAAGUCAGAUGUGAAAUCCCCGGGCUCAACCUGGGAACUGCAUUUGAAACUGGCAAGCUAGAGUCUCGUAGAGGGGGGUAGAAUUCCAGGUGUAGCGGUGAAAUGCGUAGAGAUCUGGAGGAAUACCGGUGGCGAAGGCGGCCCCCUGGACGAAGACUGACGCUCAGGUGCGAAAGCGUGGGGAGCAAACAGGAUUAGAUACCCUGGUAGUCCACGCUGUAAACGAUGUCGAUUUGGAGGUUGUGCCCUUGAGGCGUGGCUUCCGGAGCUAACGCGUUAAAUCGACCGCCUGGGGAGUACGGCCGCAAAGUU
RNAcentral lists this ribosomal RNA (375 nucleotides) under uncultured Serratia sp. RNAcentral describes it as "bacterial SSU rRNA". It matches the Rfam family "Bacterial small subunit ribosomal RNA", at positions 521 to 895 of the family's 1533-position model. Lineage: Bacteria; Pseudomonadati; Pseudomonadota; Gammaproteobacteria; Enterobacterales; Yersiniaceae. The record is from RNAcentral.